AUGAUGAAUAUUACAGCAGUGAGGAAUAUUGGUCAAUAGCCUAACGGCUGAACCAGCAACUUGGGGGAAUGUAUAGCAAUUGCUAUUUGCACUAAUGUUAUUAGUGUAAAAUUAACUACGUUAAAUAAAAUUCUGGGUAGAAUUAUGAUAAUGACAUUAUCUAUUCAUAAGUCUUGACCAAAUUACGUGCCAGCAGUCGCGGUAACACGUAGAAGACAAGUGUUAUUCAUCUUUAAUAGGUUUAAAGCGUACUUAGACAGCAAAUAAAGCCUCCAAAAGGGACUAGUUUGCUAGAGUUUUAUAUGAAGGGGUUUUAAAGUACUACUGGUGUAGAGAUGAAAUUCCGUUAUACCUUAAAUGGCACAGGUUAAGGCGAAGGCGUCCUCUUAUGUAAAAACUGACGUUGAAGGACGAAGGCUUUGUGUCUCGAACAGGAUUAGAUACCCUAGUAGUCUAAGCAGAAAAUGAUGAAUGUCAUGGAUUAGAUUUAAUUUGAUCUAUAAAUGAAAGUGUAAGCAUUCCACCUCAAGAGUAAUUUGGCAACAUUGGAACUGAAAUCAUUAGACCGUUUCUGAAACCAGUAGUGANGUAUGUUGUUUAAUUUGAUAACCCGCAAAAAACCUUACCACGAUUUGAAUAGAUAUAUUUUAUCAUACAAGUGCUGCACGGCUGUCUUCAGUUAAUGUCGUGAGACUUUGGUUAGUUCCUUUAAAUUAACGUAAACCCUUGCUUUAUUUUUAUAUAGAGUAGUUCACCGCUAUA
This 762-nucleotide ribosomal RNA is filed under the name Dufourea turbinata. Its description in RNAcentral is "SSU rRNA". It matches the Rfam family "Bacterial small subunit ribosomal RNA", at positions 335 to 1160 of the family's 1533-position model. Lineage: Eukaryota; Fungi; Ascomycota; Lecanoromycetes; Teloschistales; Teloschistaceae. The record is from RNAcentral.